AGACCGUGAUGCAGGCAUUUCCUUAGUUGCUCCUUUAACCUUUCCCAUGUCUUGUACAAGGAUUCCCCAUCUUCUUGAGAGUACGUGUUGAUUUCGCUCAUGUGUUU
RNAcentral lists this small nucleolar RNA (107 nucleotides) under Helianthus annuus (common sunflower). RNAcentral describes it as "sRNA HanXRQr2_Chr02g0079031". It matches the Rfam family "Plant small nucleolar RNA R71". Rfam says of the family: R71 is a member of the C/D box family of snoRNAs containing the C (UGAUGA) and D (CUGA) box motifs. The record is from Rfam by way of RNAcentral. Lineage: Eukaryota; Viridiplantae; Streptophyta; Magnoliopsida; Asterales; Asteraceae.